This 468-nucleotide ribosomal RNA is filed under the name uncultured bacterium. RNAcentral's name for it is "partial 16S ribosomal RNA". It matches the Rfam family "Bacterial small subunit ribosomal RNA", at positions 28 to 507 of the family's 1533-position model. The record is from RNAcentral.
GACGAACGCUGGCGGCGUGCUUAACACAUGCAAGUCGAACGGAAAGACCCUGCUUUUGUGGGGUGCUAGAGUGGCGAACGGGUGAGUAACACGUGAGUAACCUGCCCUUGACUUUGGGAUAACUUCAGGAAACUGGGGCUAAUACCGGAUAGGAGCUCCUGCUGCAUGGUGGGGGUUGGAAAGUUUCGGCGGUUGGGGAUGGACUCGCGGCUUAUCAGCUUGUUGGUGGGGUAGUGGCUUACCAAGGCUUUGACGGGUAGCCGGCCUGAGAGGGUGACCGGCCACAUUGGGACUGAGAUACGGCCCAGACUCCUACGGGAGGCAGCAGUGGGGAAUAUUGCACAAUGGGCGGAAGCCUGAUGCAGCAACGCCGCGUGCGGGAUGACGGCCUUCGGGUUGUAAACCGCUUUCGCCUGUGACGAAGCGUGAGUGACGGUAAUGGGUAAAGAAGCACCGGCUAACUACGUG